GGUUAAGCGACUAAGCGUACACGGUGGAUGCCCUGGCAGUCAGAGGCGAUGAAGGGCGUGCUAAUCUGCGAUAAGCGCCGGUAAGGUGAUAUGAACCGUUAUAACCGGCGAUACCCGAAUGGGGAAACCCAGUGUGACUCGUCACACUAUCAUUAACUGAAUCCAUAGGUUAAUGAGGCGAACCGGGGGAACUGAAACAUCUAAGUACCCCGAGGAAAAGAAAUCAACCGAGAUUCCCCCAGUAGCGGCGAGCGAACGGGGAGGAGCCCAGAGCCUGAAUCAGCAUGUGUGUUAGUGGAAGCGUCUGGAAAGGCGCGCGAUACAGGGUGACAGCCCCGUACACAAAAGCGCAUGUGCUGUGAGCUCGAUGAGUAGGGCGGGACACGUGGUAUCCUGUCUGAAUAUGGGGGGACCAUCCUCCAAGGCUAAAUACUCCUGACUGACCGAUAGUGAACCAGUACCGUGAGGGAAAGGCGAAAAGAACCCCGGCGAGGGGAGUGAAAAAGAACCUGAAACCGUGUACGUACAAGCAGUGGGAGCACCCUUUGGGUGUGACUGCGUACCUUUUGUAUAAUGGGUCAGCGACUUAUAUUCUGUAGCAAGGUUAACCGAAUAGGGGAGCCGGAGGGAAACCGAGUCUUAAUUGGGCGUUAAGUUGCAGGGUAUAGACCCGAAACCCGGUGAUCUAGCCAUGGGCAGGUUGAAGGUUGGGUAACACUAACUGGAGGACCGAACCGACUAAUGUUGAAAAAUUAGCGGAUGACCUGUGGCUGGGGGUGAAAGGCCAAUCAAACCGGGAGAUAGCUGGUUCUCCCCGAAAGCUAUUUAGGUAGCGCCUCGUGAAUUCAUCUCCGGGGGUAGAGCACUGUUUCGGCUAGGGGGCCAUCCCGGCUUACCAACCCGAUGCAAACUGCGAAUACCGGAGAAUGUUAUCACGGGAGACACACGGCGGGUGCUAACGUCCGUCGUGAAGAGGGAAACAACCCAGACCGCCAGCUAAGGUCCCAAAGUCAUGGUUAAGUGGGAAACGAUGUGGGAAGGCCCAGACAGCCAGGAUGUUGGCUUAGAAGCAGCCAUCAUUUAAAGAAAGCGUAAUAGCUCACUGGUCGAGUCGGCCUGCGCGGAAGAUGUAACGGGGCUAAACCAUGCACCGAAGCUGCGGCAGCGACACUGUGUGUUGUUGGGUAGGGGAGCGUUCUGUAAGCCUGUGAAGGUGUGUCGUGAGGCAUGCUGGAGGUAUCAGAAGUGCGAAUGCUGACAUAAGUAACGAUAAAGCGGGUGAAAAGCCCGCUCGCCGGAAGACCAAGGGUUCCUGUCCAACGUUAAUCGGGGCAGGGUGAGUCGACCCCUAAGGCGAGGCCGAAAGGCGUAGUCGAUGGGAAACGGGUUAAUAUUCCCGUACUUGGUGUUACUGCGAAGGGGGGACGGAGAAGGCUAUGUUGGCCGGGCGACGGUUGUCCCGGUUUAAGUGUGUAGGUGUGUGUUCCAGGUAAAUCCGGUUCACUUUAACACUGAGGCGUGACGACGAGGCACUACGGUGCUGAAGCAACAAAUGCCCUGCUUCCAGGAAAAGCCUCUAAGCAUCAGGUAACAUCAAAUCGUACCCCAAACCGACACAGGUGGUCAGGUAGAGAAUACCAAGGCGCUUGAGAGAACUCGGGUGAAGGAACUAGGCAAAAUGGUGCCGUAACUUCGGGAGAAGGCACGCUGACACGUAGGUGAAGUGAUUUACUCAUGGAGCUGAAGUCAGUCGAAGAUACCAGCUGGCUGCAACUGUUUAUUAAAAACACAGCACUGUGCAAACACGAAAGUGGACGUAUACGGUGUGACGCCUGCCCGGUGCCGGAAGGUUAAUUGAUGGGGUCAGCGCAAGCGAAGCUCCUGAUCGAAGCCCCGGUAAACGGCGGCCGUAACUAUAACGGUCCUAAGGUAGCGAAAUUCCUUGUCGGGUAAGUUCCGACCUGCACGAAUGGCGUAAUGAUGGCCAGGCUGUCUCCACCCGAGACUCAGUGAAAUUGAACUCGCUGUGAAGAUGCAGUGUACCCGCGGCAAGACGGAAAGACCCCGUGAACCUUUACUAUAGCUUGACACUGAACAUUGAGCCUUGAUGUGUAGGAUAGGUGGGAGGCUUUGAAGUGUGGACGCCAGUCUGCAUGGAGCCGACCUUGAAAUACCACCCUUUAAUGUUUGAUGUUCUAACGUGGACCCGUUACCCGGGUUGCGGACAGUGUCUGGUGGGUAGUUUGACUGGGGCGGUCUCCUCCUAAAGAGUAACGGAGGAGCACGAAGGUUGGCUAAUCCUGGUCGGACAUCAGGAGGUUAGUGCAAUGGCAUAAGCCAGCUUGACUGCGAGCGUGACGGCGCGAGCAGGUGCGAAAGCAGGUCAUAGUGAUCCGGUGGUUCUGAAUGGAAGGGCCAUCGCUCAACGGAUAAAAGGUACUCCGGGGAUAACAGGCUGAUACCGCCCAAGAGUUCAUAUCGACGGCGGUGUUUGGCACCUCGAUGUCGGCUCAUCACAUCCUGGGGCUGAAGUAGGUCCCAAGGGUAUGGCUGUUCGCCAUUUAAAGUGGUACGCGAGCUGGGUUUAGAACGUCGUGAGACAGUUCGGUCCCUAUCUGCCGUGGGCGCUGGAGAACUGAGGGGGGCUGCUCCUAGUACGAGAGGACCGGAGUGGACGCAUCACUGGUGUUCGGGUUGUCAUGCCAAUGGCACUGCCCGGUAGCUAAAUGCGGAAGAGAUAAGUGCUGAAAGCAUCUAAGCACGAAACUUGCCCCGAGAUGAGUUCUCCCUGAGACUUUAGGUCUCCUGAAGGAACGUUGAAGACGACGACGUUGAUAGGCCGGGUGUGUAAGCGCAGCGAUGCGUUGAGCUAACCGGUACUAAUGAACCGUGAGGCUUAACCUU
RNAcentral lists this ribosomal RNA (2904 nucleotides) under Salmonella enterica subsp. enterica serovar Enteritidis. RNAcentral's name for it is "23S ribosomal RNA". It matches the Rfam family "Bacterial large subunit ribosomal RNA". The record is from RNAcentral. Lineage: Bacteria; Pseudomonadati; Pseudomonadota; Gammaproteobacteria; Enterobacterales; Enterobacteriaceae.